Molecule: ribosomal RNA, 491 nt
Filed under: uncultured bacterium
Lineage: Bacteria
Description: partial 16S ribosomal RNA
Rfam family: Bacterial small subunit ribosomal RNA
Source: RNAcentral
AGUGAACGCUGGCGGUAGGCCUAACACAUGCAAGUCGAACGGCAGCACAGUAAGAGCUUGCUCUUACGGGUGGCGAGUGGCGGACGGGUGAGGAAUACAUCGGAAUCUACUUUUUCGUGGGGGAUAACGUAGGGAAACUUACGCUAAUACCGCAUACGACCUACGGGUGAAAGCAGGGGAUCUUCGGACCUUGCGCGAUUGAAUGAGCCGAUGUCGGAUUAGCUAGUUGGCGGGGUAAAGGCCCACCAAGGCGACGAUCCGUAGCUGGUCUGAGAGGAUGACCAGCACAACUGAACUUGAGAAAGGGCCCAGAUCCUACGGGAGGCAGCAGUGGGGAAUAUUGGACAAUGGGCGCAAGCCUGAUCCAGCCAUACCGCGUGGGUGAAGAAGGCCUUCGGGUUGUAAAGCCCUUUUGUUGGGAAAGAAAAGCAGCAGGUUAAUACCCCGCUGUUCUGACGGUACCCAAAGAAUAAGCACCGGCUAACUUCGUG